This 434-nucleotide ribosomal RNA is filed under the name uncultured Clostridium sp. RNAcentral's name for it is "partial 16S ribosomal RNA". It matches the Rfam family "Bacterial small subunit ribosomal RNA", at positions 341 to 792 of the family's 1533-position model. The record is from RNAcentral. Lineage: Bacteria; Bacillati; Bacillota; Clostridia; Eubacteriales; Clostridiaceae.
ACGGGAGGCAGCAGUGGGGAAUAUUGGACAAUGGGCGAAAGCCUGAUCUAGCGACGCCGCGUGAGUGAAGAAGUAUUUCGGUAUGUAAAGCUCUAUUAGCAGGGAAGAUAAUGACGGUACCUGACUAAGAAGCCCCGGCUAACUACGUGCCAGCAGCCGCGGUAAUACGUAGGGGGCAAGCGUUAUCCGGAUUUACUGGGUGUAAAGGGAGCGUAGACGGUAUGGCAAGUCUGAUGUGAAAACCCAGGGCUCAACCCUGGGACUGCAUUGGAAACUGUCAAACUAGAGUGCAGGAGAGGUAAGUGGAAUUCCUAGUGUAGCGGUGAAAUGCGUAGAUAUUGGGAGGAACACCGGAGGCGAAGGCGGCUCACUGGACGAUUACUGACGUUGAGGCUCGAAAGCGUGGGGAGCAAACAGGAUUAGAUACCCUGGUA